GAAGGAAGAGGAAAUACUGAAAGAUCAAAACAGAGAAGAAACCGACUGUGUUUGCUGGGGCUCUGAAGCCCGAACAGGACACUGUGAAUGGAAAAGGACCAGUGAGAGAUGAAGCUGGACGAGUUUGACUGCGAGAAGAUAGGAGAUGAUUGGAUUGAAAUUGAACCCUGAACUCGUGAUAGUUUAGGGAUGUCCACCACGUCACAACAAAGAGGUAAACAAUACAAAAGAGUUGAUGUUCCGUCCAAAAGGGUUUUAAGCUUCACUGGUGAGAGUGUCCAGGUGAUACAUGUUGAGGGAAGAUGAGAACAUAGCAGGGUAAAGGUGGACCACAGGUUGCUUUGUUUCUGCUUAGCAACUACUGAGGUAAAUGGUGUUAAAGAUAAAUAUGCAAUAAGUGAACAGGAAAUGUGUAAGGGUGAGCCGGGUGAAACAAAAUGUUGUGGAUAAUGGAAACUUGUCU
Oreochromis aureus is the source of this 463-nucleotide long non-coding RNA. The record is from Ensembl. Lineage: Eukaryota; Metazoa; Chordata; Actinopteri; Cichliformes; Cichlidae.